Long non-coding RNA from Bombus terrestris (buff-tailed bumblebee), 739 nucleotides. RefSeq lists it as uncharacterized. The transcript has 2 exons. Lineage: Eukaryota; Metazoa; Arthropoda; Insecta; Hymenoptera; Apidae. The record is from RefSeq and is a predicted model, not a curated record.
UCUUGCUGCGCCUAUCCAAAAAAUAUAAAUAGAAAUCGAAAUUACAAAUUCAAUUCAAUAUUCAAAUAGUUUUUAUCAAAUACGAAUUCUUUGGUUCGACUGUCUGAUGUCAAAUCGAUGAUAUUAAGUUCGUGAUUAUCUUUAAUCCGAUUAACUCACGAUUAUUUUUACAUGUUUAUAACCACAUAUCAUUUCAGUAAUCAAUUGCUUUUCAUUAAUUUGUCAGGGAACAUCGUCGCGUCGUGACGGACAAGGGUUACGUUGUAUUGGUACCAGUUUGUACUUACUUAUUCUACAGGGUUCGUAUAUGUUACAACUGAGAUUUAGGAGAUUUAUCAUGAUGAGUUACACUGAGAAGCAACACGUAAAAAUAGUAGACUUUUAGUAUCAAAGUGAUAAGUCCAUUAUCGGCCACUACGUUCGCUCGAUCUUUCGGCUUUCCAUUACUUUCUGUGGGGCUAUCUAAAGGAAUGGGUACAUGUGAAUAGACCAUGUACAUUUGAAGAGCUCAAGGAAAACAUUCUUGCAGAAACUGGAAUAUUAGGACAUUAUAUAAUACUCAGACAUUAAACAUUGUUAUGAAACAUGCUAUCGAAAAAGCCUGACAUUGCUAGACAGUAAACAGAGGGCAUAGAAGAAAUAUUAUUAACUCUCAUACAUAAACUCCAUACUAUUAUAAGCUUUAAAUAUUUAGCAAUAUUGUACAAAUAUGUUGUAAAAUAAGAAAGUUAUUUGUGUC